RNAcentral lists this ribosomal RNA (252 nucleotides) under uncultured Bacteroidales bacterium. RNAcentral describes it as "partial 16S ribosomal RNA". It matches the Rfam family "Bacterial small subunit ribosomal RNA", at positions 524 to 776 of the family's 1533-position model. Lineage: Bacteria; Pseudomonadati; Bacteroidota; Bacteroidia; Bacteroidales. The record is from RNAcentral.
UACAUAGGUGGCAAGCGUUGUCCGGAAUGACUGGGCGUAAAGGGAGCGUAGGCGGUCCGUUAAGUCAGCGGUAAAAUUGCGGGGCUCAACCCCGGCCCGCCGUUGAAACUGGCAGUCUCGAGUUGGAGAGAAGUAUGCGGAAUGCGCGGUGUAGCGGUGAAAUGCAUAGAUAUCGCGCAGAACUCCGAUUGCGAAGGCAGCAUGCCGGCUCCACACUGACGCUGAGGCACGAAAGCGUGGGUAUCGAACAGG